This 603-nucleotide non-coding RNA is filed under the name Pongo abelii (Sumatran orangutan). Lineage: Eukaryota; Metazoa; Chordata; Mammalia; Primates; Hominidae. The record is from RNAcentral.
CUUUUCAUUCCCGUUGUCAUGGAGGGCCACAUCUGCCAGAGCCUGGAGUCUGCGAAGGCCGGGACCCGGUUCCCCGGCCCGCCGUGGGGAGUGUGCAAACCCGAGAGAACUGGAUUGCGUACCCACUGCAGAGGGCUGAAGACGGGGUAGCCACGAGUCAAGUCUUCACCACUUGCUGGUUCCCAGGAGUAAACUUGUGUGAACGAUGACCUAAUUGCUAUAUUCACCUAGGUUGCAAAUUCGUGAAGAAUCAGCAGCAUGUUUGGCAGCUGAGUAUUGGAGCCAGGAGCCUGCCAUGAGGUUUUGAGAACAGGGUGCUGUUUUAGAGCUGGCAGCAGCAUCUCAGCCCAAGAGAAGGUUAUAUUCCCAGAGGAUGUCAGUCCCAAGGACCAGUAGCUGCCAUCAGUUUGGAUUCUGAAAACUAACCGGCAUCAACAUUGGGUGUAGAAACAUGCUUGCCUUGUGUAUCAGAGGACAUGCUCAGCAGAUCCAAGAGAUAUAUUUGGCAACUUUUUCUAGAAAAGGCACAUUAGGUAUCAUUCAUUACAUUCUUGAGUUUUUUUGGGGUUUUUUUUUUUUUUGAGACAGUCUUGCUGUGUUGCC